Molecule: ribosomal RNA, 468 nt
Filed under: uncultured bacterium
Lineage: Bacteria
Description: partial 16S ribosomal RNA
Rfam family: Bacterial small subunit ribosomal RNA
Source: RNAcentral
GACGAACGCUGGCGGCGUGCUUAACACAUGCAAGUCGAACGGAAAGGCCCUGCUUUUGUGGGGUGCUCGAGUGGCGAACGGGUGAGUAACACGUGAGUAACCUGCCCUUGACUUUGGGAUAACUUCAGGAAACUGGGGCUAAUACCGGAUAGGAGCUCCUGCUGCAUGGUGGGGGUUGGAAAGUUUCGGCGGUUGGGGAUGGACUCGCGGCUUAUCAGCUUGUUGGUGGGGUAGUGGCUUACCAAGGCUUUGACGGGUAGCCGGCCCGAGAGGGUGACCGGCGUCCAUGGGCCUGAGAGACGGCGCAGUAGGCUACGGGAGGCAACAGUGGGGAAUAUGGCACAAUGGGCGGAAGUGUAAUGCAGAAACGCCGCGUGCGGGAUGACGUGUUACGGGUUGUAAACAGAUUUGGACUGUGACGAAGCGUGCGUGACGGUAACGGGUAAAGAAGCACCGGCUAACUACGUG